Molecule: ribosomal RNA, 404 nt
Filed under: uncultured bacterium
Lineage: Bacteria
Description: bacterial SSU rRNA
Rfam family: Bacterial small subunit ribosomal RNA
Source: RNAcentral
UUUUGGACAAUGGGCGCAAGCCUGAUCCAGCAAUGCCGCGUGAGUGAAGAAGGCCUUCGGGUUGUAAAGCUCUUUUGUCAGGGAAGAAACGGUGAGCUCUAAUACAGUUUGCUAAUGACGGUACCUGAAGAAUAAGCACCGGCUAACUACGUGCCAGCAGCCGCGGUAAUACGUAGGGUGCAAGCGUUAAUCGGAAUUACUGGGCGUAAAGCGUGCGCAGGCGGUUAUGUAAGUCAGAUGUGAAAUCCCCGGGCUCAACCUGGGAAUGGCAUUUGAGACUGCAUGGCUAGAGUGUGUCAGAGGGGGGUAGAAUUCCACGUGUAGCAGCGAAAUGCGUAGAGAUGUGGAGGAAUACCGAUGGCGAAGGCAGCCCCCUGGGAUAACACUGACGCUCAUGCACGAAA